GAGCAGAUGGGCCGCAUCCUGCAGCGCACUGCCAUCUCCACCAACAUCAAGGAACGCCUGGACUUCUCCUGUGCCCUCUUUGGACCUGACGGGGGGCUGGUCUCUAAUGCCCCCCACAUUCCUGUGCAUCUGGGAGCCAUGCAGGAGACUGUGCAGUUCCAGGUGCGGCAGGCCCCCUCUCUAGCCUCCCUCGCUGACCCAUGUCCCUGCCCCACCCCCAUUCUGCACCUGUCUCCUGGUUUUAGAUCCAGCACUUGGGGUCUGAUCUCCACCCCGGUGAUGUGCUACUCAGCAACCACCCCAGCGCAGGGGGCAGCCAUCUUCCAGACCUGACUGUAAUCACACCGGUGAGGUUCACUGCCAGGCUACCUUUGUGGGGGUCACAGGUGGCUGACACAGCUGACUGUCACUCUCUACCCGCUAGGUAUUUUGGCCAGGUCAGACUCGGCCUGUGUUCUACGUGGCCAGCCGAGGGCAUCAUGCAGACAUUGGGGGUAUUACACCAGGCUCCAUGCCCCCGCACUCCACUGCACUGCAACAGGAGGGGGCCGUCUUUCUGUCCUUCAAGCUGGUCCAGGGGGGCGUCUUUCAGGAGGAGGGUGAGCCGGAGUGGGGCUGCGGUGGGGGUUCAGCAGGAUGGGAUACCUGGUUGCUGCCAGUGACCCAGCUGGCUGGACCCUGGGAUACAGCCCAGCAGCCCAGGUCUGCCCUGAGGCUGGGGAGUGGCAAAUGGUGACCCCGUGGUGCAGUUGCAGAUCAUCCCCCAGAGAUGAUUAGAGGUGAGAUGAAUUCUGUGUGGCCAAAGAAGUACUCCUUGGAGGUGGUUUGGGGGUAGGAAGUUGGCCAGGACACUCAAAGAGUAGAGUAUAGAAGGAAGAAGGGCCUAUUUCAGGUAGGUAGCUGCUGCAGUCCACACUGGGUUUGGGUGAAGGAUGUUUGGGAACUCAGGGCUGGUAUUGGAUGGGAUUUGGGGGGAGUGAGGGGUCAAGUUUGGAUGAAGGAGGAUGGAGGCCUUACACUGAACAGAGACAGGGAAGGUAGGGUCAGCGGAAAAGGUAGCACAUGGUCUGAGGUUACAGGGGCAUGGGAGUCCAGAGUAGCACCCCAGAACGAGGGUGGGUGAGUUGAGCAGGGUGGAGGGGUAGAAGUAACAGAGCCAUGGUCCACUUUGGGUGUCACAGACACAUAUAGGGUGACGUUGGUCAGGGGUAGCUGGGGUAGGAGGUGUGGAUCAUGGAGGAACAAGUGUAAGUGUAAGUGUAGGGGAUCAGUGCCAGGGAGCCUUGGAGACUGUAACUCAGAAGGGAAGGGGUGUUCCUGAAGAGUGUAGGAGUCUCUGGGUCAGAUCUGCAUCCCUUGCAGGAGUGAGAGGGAACCUUGUCCAGAUCUGAGAAACCUGCAGGUUGGGGGAUAGCACAGGCAGCAGUCUGAUGCUCUUUUGAGGCACUUGGCUGGGGAUGUCAGUGGGAGCUGGCAGGGCUAAGGGCAUAUCGAGGAGGAGGAAUGCCAAGGAAGUGGCUUUUCUCCUGGGAGACAUAGUAGAAGUGGGCUGGAGAAGGCAGGAGGGAUAAGGAGGGAGGAGAGUUUGCUAAGGGACCAAUAUGCCCUCUAGGCAUCUCCAGCUCCAGGGAGGUCACUGGCCAAGCUGCCCUUAGGCGCUGGCUAUCAGAAGGAUAAAAGGAUGGAGGCUGGUGCUUCAGGGAAUGGGAGUCAGCAGGACAGGUGGGGAUUCAGUGGAGGGCCAACAGUGCCCAGUGGGGGUGCAGUGGGGCUGGAAUAGGGCACCAGGUGGCUGAGGAGAUGGGGGCAGCUCAGUGGUGACCUCAUCCAUUCCAUCCAGCGGUGACAGAGGCCUUACGGGCACCAAGCAAGAUCUCUGGUUGUAGUGGAACUAGGAAUCUGCAUGACAAUCUGUCGGAUCUCCGUGCCCAGGUGGCAGCCAACCAAAAGGGCAUACGGUUGGUGGGGGAGCUCAUCGGGCAAUAUGGCUUGGAUGUUGUGCAGGCCUACAUGGGCCACAUUCAGGUGGGUCUAGGGGCAGGGAGGUGGGAGCCCCACUCUGCCUGCCCAAGGUGCAGGGCCACUCUGAAAGUAGCAUGGCUGCCAUGGGACCCUCUCCCUGCCAGGCAAAUGCAGAGCUGGCAGUGCGUGACAUGCUGCGGGCCUUUGGAACCUCCCGGCAGGCUCGGGGACUACCCCUUGAGGUGUCUGCGGAGGACCACAUGGAUGAUGGCUCGCCUAUACACCUCCGAGUUCAAAUCAACCUGAGUCAGGUCAGACCUAGUUGGGAGACAGGGAGGGAGCUUUCUGCGCCACCCCACUGCUGAUGCCUUCACCCUUCUCCUUCCUGGGCAGGGCAGUGCUGUAUUUGACUUCAGUGGCACUGGGCCGGAGGUGUUUGGCAACCUCAAUGCCCCGCGGGCCAUAACGCUGUCGGCCCUCAUCUACUGCUUGCGCUGUCUUGUGGGCCGUGACAUCCCACUCAACCAGGUUCGCAGGGGGGUGGAGUCUGAGGUCGGUCCCUACCAGUGCGAGGUCAGCAGGUGAACCUGAGGCUGGAGGUCACCCUGAGUGUGUGUGGGGUCAAGGUCAGCCCAACGUGGACUGAGCCCGGGAGGUGGGCAUGUUUCUCUUGGAAUCAGAGAGGGACCCAGCCCCAUUUGCCCCUGAGAGCUGCUUGCCCAUGCACAGGGCUGCCUGGCACCUGUGCGGGUGGUGAUUCCUAGAGGCUCCAUCCUGGACCCAUCCUCAGAGGCAGCGGUGGUGGGCGGCAACGUGCUCACGUCACAGCGUGUGGUGGACGUCAUCCUGGCGGCCUUCGGGGCCUGCGCUGCCUCCCAGGUGUGAUAGGCAGGCUGGGUGCGGCCCUGGGGGCUUCUGGGAACUCUGGGAGGGCGAGGGCCUGCUGGAAGCGGAUCCCCGCCCCAGCCAGGUACAGUUAAGGCUUGCUCCUGCCAGGGCUGCAUGAACAACGUGACCCUGGGCAAUGCCCAUAUGGGGUACUACGAGACGGUAGCGGGCGGCGCAGGUGCGGGCCCCGGCUGGCACGGACGCAGCGGCGUGCACAGCCACAUGACCAACACGCGCAUCACCGACCCGGAGAUACUGGAGAGCCGGUGAGCUACGCGCGCCAGGGGCUAGGCAGCUAGGAUGGGGCCGAGCUUGGGUUCAGCUGAGCUGAGCCCUUCGUACGCGUAGGUACCCGGUCGUCUUGCGCCGCUUUGAACUGAGGCCGGGCUCUGGGGGCCGAGGCCGAUUCCGGGGCGGCGACGGCGUGGUCCGCGAGCUGCUCUUCCGCGAAGAGGCGCUGCUGUCGGUGCUCACAGAACGCCGGGCCUUCCAGCCAUAUGGCCUUCAGGGUGGGCGGCUCCCCAACCCCUGCAGACCAGUCUGUUCCCCACUCACUGCUGCAUUCGCGCUCCCCCGCCAGUCGUGUUUUCCCCUGACUCUCCAUCUCCUUCUCUACCUUUCCUCCCUGACCAUCCAGCUCCUCUUUCCCUGCA
Molecule: long non-coding RNA, 3503 nt
Filed under: Marmota monax (woodchuck)
Lineage: Eukaryota; Metazoa; Chordata; Mammalia; Rodentia; Sciuridae
Source: RNAcentral